UCCAUUCUACUGCACCUCGUCUCUACCUUCAGCAGUUGAUGAGGAUGAGUCACCAGUAAGCUGAUCCCACACAGACUCUUGUCAACAUUUUCAGCAUUCUGGCUGUUAAAGUUCCCACAUUUGUGCAGAUAGUCUGGAGCUGCUGUCACUGGAGGGCGGAACCACUGAUUAUCACUUACACCUGCGGAUCCUCUCCUGCAAUCAUCCAGGGGAUAAAAGGAGUUGGCUGUCAGUUCUCCAGUGUCUAAGUGUUUGCCUGCAAUGGCUUCCUCCACCACCUCCUGGUUCAUCUACCAGAGUUUCCCUGAGCCUCCUCGAGAACCCAAGAUCUCCUGGAGCAGUUCUGAGACUGACAGCUUCAAGGUCUUUGUCCCCGGUCUGCACGGUAAUCUGUCCACCCUCCAUCGCUCCAACUAUCUGGCUGCGUUGCACUGCACUGACUUGUCUUUCAACCACCCACCCCCAACUUGUGGACGCUCCCUCACUACCCAAGUAAGAAGUUUUUUGGUUCCUCAUCAUUUCCUCAGUAUUUUUG
Molecule: long non-coding RNA, 535 nt
Organism: Austrofundulus limnaeus
Lineage: Eukaryota; Metazoa; Chordata; Actinopteri; Cyprinodontiformes; Rivulidae
Exons: 3
Source: RefSeq, a predicted model, not a curated record